This is a long non-coding RNA of Leptopilina boulardi, 1444 nucleotides long. RefSeq lists it as uncharacterized. The record is from RefSeq and is a predicted model, not a curated record. Lineage: Eukaryota; Metazoa; Arthropoda; Insecta; Hymenoptera; Figitidae. The transcript is spliced from 3 exons.
UCUUGCACAAAAUACUCCUAAAAGUGUAGAAAAAAAUUGACAGCCAAAUACGAGUAGAGGAAGACACCUGUUACCACCUAAAAGUCAUCCAACCCAAAAAUCCAAAAUCACAAAAAAGGUCCCAAAAAAAUUCAAUUUUUCUUAGGCACACUAUUUUAUUGUAAUUUCUUGCACAAAAUACUCCUAAAAGUGUAGAAAAAAAUUGACAGCCAAAUACGAGUAGAGGAAGACACCUGUUACCACCUAAAAGUCAUCCAACCCAAAAAUCCAAAAUCAUAAAAAAGUUCCCAAAAAAAUUCAAUUUUUCUUAGGCACACUAUUUUAUUGUAAUUUCUUGCACAAAAUACUCCUAAAAGUGUAGAAAAAAAUUGACAGCCAAAUACGAGUAGAGGAAGACACCUGUUACCACCUAAAAGUCAUCCAACCCAAAAAUCCAAAAUCACAAAAAAGGUCCCAAAAAAAUUCAAUUUUUCUUAGGCACACUAUUUUAUUGUAAUUUCUUGCACAAAAUACUCCUAAAAGUGUAGAAAAAAAUUGACAGCCAAAUACGAGUAGAGGAAGACACCUGUUACCACCUAAAAGUCAUCCAACCCAUAAAUCCAAAAUCAUAAAAAAGUUCCCAAAAAAAUUCAAUUUUUCUUAGGCACACUAUUUUAUUGUAAUUUCUUGCACAAAAUACUCCUAAAAGUGUAGAAAAAAAUUGACAGCCAAAUACGAGUAGAGGAAGACACCUGUUACCACCUAAAAGUCAUCCAACCCAAAAAUCCAAAAUCACAAAAAAGGUCCCAAAAAAAUUCAAUUUUUCUUAGGCACACUAUUUUAUUGUAAUUUCUUGCACAAAAUACUCCUAAAAGUGUAGAAAAAAAUUGACAGCCAAAUACGAGUAGAGGAAGACACCUGUUACCACCUAAAAGUCAUCCAACCCAAAAAUCCAAAAUCAUAAAAAAGUUCCCAAAAAAAUUCAAUUUUUCUUAGGCACACUAUUUUAUUGUAAUUUCUUGCACAAAAUACUCCUAAAAGUGUAGAAAAAAAUUGACAGCCAAAUACGAGUAGAGGAAGACACCUGUUACCACCUAAAAGUCAUCCAACCCAAAAAUCCAAAAUCACAAAAAAGGUCCCAAAAAAAUUCAAUUUUUCUUAGGCACACUAUUUUAUUGUAAUUUCUUGCACAAAAUACUCCUAAAAGUGUAGAAAAAAAUUGACAGCCAAAUACGAGUAGAGGAAGACACCUGUUACCACCUAAAAGUCAUCCAACCCAAAAAUCCAAAAUCAUAAAAAAGUUCCCAAAAAAAUUCAAUUUUUCUUAGGCACACUAUUUUAUUGUAAUUUCUUGCACAAAAUACUCCUAAAAGUGUAGAAAAAAAUUGACAGCCAAAUACGAGUAGAGGAAGACACCUGUUACCACCUAAAAGUCAUCCAACCCAAAAAUCCAAAAUCAUAAAAA